GGAGAGGUGGCCGAGUGGUUUAAGGCAGCGGUCUUGAAAACCGCCGAUGAGAAAUCAUCCGAGAGUUCGAAUCUCUCUCUCUCCG
Molecule: non-coding RNA, 85 nt
Organism: Triticum urartu
Lineage: Eukaryota; Viridiplantae; Streptophyta; Magnoliopsida; Poales; Poaceae
Source: Rfam